RNAcentral lists this long non-coding RNA (675 nucleotides) under Hordeum vulgare. RNAcentral describes it as "long non-coding RNA (HVUL_LNC002412)". The record is from RNAcentral. Lineage: Eukaryota; Viridiplantae; Streptophyta; Magnoliopsida; Poales; Poaceae.
GCUUUUUUUGUUCUCAACCAACCCCGUUCCUCCACGAGCUAGCAGCAGCCGCACCCGAGUGUCUCUUCCAUGUAUGCCCAUGGAUCUUCCCUGCGCUCGUGCCUCUUCCCUAACGCGAUCGGCAGAGGAACUCCGGUCUGAAGCUUUGCGCCCCUAGGUCCUCCGCGCUGCACACUGGGAGAGUCACUCCUGUGCGCGUCCAACUGCAAGGAGGGGAUCUCCUCCCACUGCUCCCUCUGGUGCCCGCGCCUCCGGGCAUCUCCAACAUGCCNNNNNNNNNNNNNNNNNNNCUAGGGAUGCUACCCUAGCCGCCGCCCACCACCACCUGGUCUCUUCCUCCUUGGGAUCUUCUCCCACACCAGCGCCUCCGUCGCCUUUGUUUUUUUUUGUUCUCAACCAACCCCGUUCCUCCACGAGCUAGCAGCAGCCGCACCCGAGUGUUUGUUCCAUGUAUGCCCAUGGAUCUUCCCUGCGCUUGUGCCUCUUCCCCAACGCGAUCGGCAGAGGAACUCCGGUCUGAAGCUUUGCGCCCCUAGGUCCUCCGCGCUGCACACUGGGAGAGUCGCUCCUGUGCGCGUCCAACCGCAAGGAGGGGAUCUCCUCCCACUUGCUCCCUCUGGUGCCCGCGCCUCUGGGCAUCUCCAACAUGCCCCGCCACCGUGAGGAGCUCCGGCC